This 337-nucleotide ribosomal RNA is filed under the name uncultured bacterium. RNAcentral's name for it is "bacterial SSU rRNA". It matches the Rfam family "Bacterial small subunit ribosomal RNA", at positions 8 to 334 of the family's 1533-position model. The record is from RNAcentral.
AGAGUUCGAUUCUGGCUCAGGAUGAACGCUAGCUACAGGCUUAACACAUGCAAGUUGAGGGGAAACGAUAUUGGAAGCUUGCUUCCGAUAGGCGUCGACCGGCGCACGGGUGAGUAACGCGUAUCCAACCUGCCCAUCACUUGGGAAUAACCUUGCGAAAGUAAGACUAAUACCCAAUGAUAUUUAUAGAAGGCAUCCGAAAUGAAUUAAAGAUUUAUCGGUGAUGGAUGGGGAUGCGUCUGAUUAGCUUGUUGGCGGGGUAACGGCCCACCAAGGCGACGAUCAGUAGCCGGUCUGAGAGGAUGAACGGCCACAUUGGGACUGAGACACGGCCCAG